ACUCUCAUAGCUCAGUUGGUAGAGCAGCAGCCCGAUAAGCUGUUGGUCACUGGUUCAAGUCCAGUUGGGAGUACCA
RNAcentral lists this transfer RNA (76 nucleotides) under Chloroflexota bacterium. RNAcentral's name for it is "tRNA-Ile". It matches the Rfam family "tRNA". Rfam says of the family: Transfer RNA (tRNA) molecules are approximately 80 nucleotides in length. Their secondary structure includes four short double-helical elements and three loops (D, anti-codon, and T loops). Further hydrogen bonds mediate the characteristic L-shaped molecular structure. tRNAs have two regions of fundamental functional importance: the anti-codon, which is responsible for specific mRNA codon recognition, and the 3' end, to which the tRNAs corresponding amino acid is attached (by aminoacyl-tRNA synthetases). tRNAs cope with the degeneracy of the genetic code in two manners: having more than one tRNA (with a specific anti-codon) for a particular amino acid; and 'wobble' base-pairing, i.e. permitting non-standard base-pairing at the 3rd anti-codon position. The record is from RNAcentral. Lineage: Bacteria; Bacillati; Chloroflexota.